This is a long non-coding RNA of Hemibagrus wyckioides, 2367 nucleotides long. RefSeq lists it as uncharacterized. The transcript is spliced from 3 exons. The record is from RefSeq and is a predicted model, not a curated record. NCBI's taxonomy places the organism in Eukaryota, Metazoa, Chordata, Actinopteri, Siluriformes, Bagridae.
GUUCCCCUCCAUACUCGAGUCUCCUGCUUGUAGUCCAUGUGAUGUUCUGCUCUUGUCAGGACCGUGUUACAGCAAGACAAAAGUCACAACUCAUCCAGAUAGUUGAAGACACUUAAGGUAAGAUCAACUAAGUUCCGAUUAUAAAUGUACUUAGUGUUAGCUUUAUAUUGUAGACUUCUGGAAGAAAGUAUGUCCGGGGGCGGGGCUAGGGGGAAACAGAUCCCCAAACAGAGUUGGACACAACACCGGCAUUACUUUUGAAAACUGCCACAGCAGAAGAAAAUCCUCACAACUGUAACGUUAGCAGAAGAGACUGAACAAGCUUUGUCUAAAUAACUAAGCGCUAGGCAACUAACACGUCGAGCUAACAGGUUAGCUAGCUAGCACGUUACAAGCAGGUUAGCUGAUGUUAUGCUAUAAAUUUAGUUUCGGUUUCACUUUAUAAUCAUCAAAUGUAAACACAAAGUCUACCGCUAACAAAAUUAGCUCGCAGGUAAGCUAACAACGGUAUUAAGUUAAUGUUCGGGGUGAAAUGGUGUGCAUUUUUGCUCUACAUGAACAGAAAAGUGGAAAUUAUGUCCUUUUCUCCACAAAAAUAAAAAGAAUGAUGAGGCAGUGCUUGAUGAUCCAGAUGUCAAGAAAGAAGCAUCAGAAAAGGAAGAGAAACAGCAAGAGAAAGUGGACGGAAAGCCAGAGGAUUUGUUAGUGGAAGGUUAUUAAAGUAAGGGCACAGAACAGGAAGUAAAGUCAGAAGCACCUGACAGUGAGGCUGAAGAGGACACAGGUGAGGAGGAGGACAUCCACAAGCAGUAGACCAUCAGAUAUCAGCUAGUGUAAAGACUCAUCAAUUCAGAAUCUGAAGUUUUCAAGGACCUUGAUGAAGGACAGGAGAAGAAUCUUUACUGCAGUCUGCUUUUUACACUCUUGGCAUUCUCUCAGCCAGACUCAGGUAGUCUCCUGGAUUGGUUUUCUAACAAUCUUGAAGGAAUUCUCAGAGGUGUUGAGGACUUGAUGGCUGCCCUUCCUUCACUCUCUGGUCCAACUCAUCAUAAACCACCUCAGCUGGGUUUAGAUCAGGUGAGUGUGGAGCUCAUGUCAUCUGAUGCAGCAGUUCAUCACUCCCUUUCUUGGACAAAUACCUCUUACCUAGUGGUAUGUUUGUUGUUAUUGUCCUACUGAAAAACAAAUGAUGGCCUCACUAAAAGCAAACCAGAUGGGAUGGCAUGUCACUGCAAAAUGCUGUGGUAGCCAUGCUGGUUAAUUGUGCCCUCAAUUUUGACUAAGUCACCAACAGUGUCACCAGCAAAUCACCCCCACACCAUCACACCUCCUCCCCCAUGCUUCACAUAUUCAGGAAUUGUCUGUUCACCCUCUCUACGUCUAACAAAGAUAUGGUGGUUAGAACCAAAAAUCUCAAACUUGGACUCAUCAGACUAGAGGAGAGUUCUCCACUGAUCUUAUGUCCAGACCUUGUGUUUCUUGGCCCAAGCAAGUCUCUUCUGCAUGUGGUUCUUCCGAAGUAAUAGUUUCUUUGCCGCAAUACGACCAUGAUGACCUGACUCCUACAGUCUUCUCUGAACAGUGGAGGUUUAAAUAUGUCUGCUACUUGAACCCCAAGAAGCAUUUAUGUGGGCUGUAAACUGAGGUGCUGUAUUUCGGCAGUUUCUGAGGCUGGUAAUUCUAAUAAACUUCUUCUUGGUAGCAGAGGUAGCUCUUGGUCUUCCUUUCCUUGGACUGUCCUCAUGAGAGCCAGUUUCAUUAUAGCAUUUGCUGGUUUUGGUGACUGCACUAAGAGGGAUACAUUCAAAGUUCUUGAGAUUUUUCAGAUUGACUGACCUUCAUUUCUUAAUGUAAUGAUAGACCGUCUUUUCUCUUUAUUUAACUGAAUCUUUCUUGCCAUAACAUUUUGUACAGUAGUUGUAGUAGCACUAAUAGGGCUAUAGACUCUGUACCCACCCUUCCUCUUCUCAAGAUAACUGAUGCUCUAAACACAGUAAGAAGGCAAGAAAUGUCACAAAUGUAUUCAUGAAGACACACCUGUGAAUUAAAAACCCUGCCAGGUGACUACGCUGUGAAUCUGAUGAGAGAAUGCAAUGAGUGUGCCAAGCUGUCAGCUACUUUGGACAAUCUAAAAUAUAAAACAUAUUCUGGGUUGUUGAACACUGUUUUUGUUUGCUACAUAAUUCAUGUGUUCUUUUAUAGUUUGAAGUAUUAGUAUACAAUGUUGAAAAUAAUAAAAAAUAAAGAAAAAUUCACUGAAGGAGAAAGUGUGUCCAAAUUCCAAACUUUUAACUGGUACUGUGUGCAUUAUUGUAUAUGUAUGUAUACAUGUGUGUAUAUGUGUGUGUGUGUAUUAAAUCUCACAGC